Long non-coding RNA from Rosa chinensis, 218 nucleotides. RefSeq lists it as uncharacterized. The record is from RefSeq and is a predicted model, not a curated record. The transcript is spliced from 3 exons. Lineage: Eukaryota; Viridiplantae; Streptophyta; Magnoliopsida; Rosales; Rosaceae.
AUCCUCUCUUCCUUCUCAUUCUAGCCAUCUUGUGUUGGCCGGUGGAGGGAGAUUUGAGGGUGUUUGGAGACGUGAACAGUAGCGUGAAUAGUGAUGCCGAGUUCUUGAUAUUUUUGGGUUUGAAUUUCGACUUUUCUGCUUGUUUUUGGUGGCUGUUGCAGGACGUACUGAGCCCUCGAGCGAGGAGGACACAGGCAGGCAGCAGGGUUAGCUGCGGG